CCUACGGGAGGCAGCAGUGGGGCAUAUUGCACAAUGGGGGAAACCCUGAUGCAGCGACGCCGCGUGAGCGAUGAAGUAUUUCGGUAUGUAAAGCUCUAUCAGCAGGGAAGAAAAUGACGGUACCUGACUAAGAAGCCCCGGCUAACUACGUGCCAGCAGCCGCGGUAAUACGUAGGGGGCAAGCGUUAUCCGGAUUUACUGGGUGGAAAGGGAGCGUAGACGGUCCUGCAAGCCAGAUGUGAAAGCCCGGGGCUCAACCCCGGGACUGCAUUUGGAACUGUAAGGCUAGAGUGUCGGAGAGGCAGGCGGAAUUCCUAGUGUAGCGGUGAAAUGCGUAGAUAUUAGGAGGAACACCAGUGGCGAAGGCGACCUGCUGGACGAUGACUGACGUUGAGGCUCGAAAGCGUGGGGAGCAAACAGGAUUAGAUACCCCAGUAGUC
RNAcentral lists this ribosomal RNA (440 nucleotides) under uncultured bacterium. RNAcentral's name for it is "partial 16S ribosomal RNA". It matches the Rfam family "Bacterial small subunit ribosomal RNA", at positions 338 to 795 of the family's 1533-position model. The record is from RNAcentral.